This 419-nucleotide ribosomal RNA is filed under the name bacterium. Its description in RNAcentral is "partial 16S ribosomal RNA". It matches the Rfam family "Bacterial small subunit ribosomal RNA", at positions 355 to 776 of the family's 1533-position model. The record is from RNAcentral.
UGGGGGAUAUUGCACAAUGGGCGAAAGCCUGAUGCAGCGACGCCGCGUGGGGGAUGAAGGCCUUCGGGUUGUAAACUUCUUUUGCUCUGAACAAGGCGCACCAUGGGGUGUGUUGAGUGUAGGGGUUGAUUAGCGCCGGCUAACUACGUGCCAGCAGCCGCGGUAAUACGUAGGGCGCGAGCGUUGUCCGGAAUUAUUGGGCGUAAAGGGCUUGUAGGUGGCUGGUUGCGUCUGUCGUGAAAGCUCAUGGCUUAACUGUUGGUUUGCGGUGGGUACGGGCUGGCUUGAGUGCAGUAGGGGAGGCUGGAAUUCCUGGUGUAGCGGUGGAAUGCGCAGAUAUCAGGAGGAAUACCGGUGGCGAAGGCGGGUCUCUGGGCUGUUACUGACACUGAGGAGCGAAAGCAUGGGGAGCGAACAGG